UAUGUAAGCGUACCAUGUGCAUGCCUGGUGCUGGCAGAGGUCAGAAGUGGAUAUAGGCACCAGAAUUAGAAAUAUACUUCCAUGUGGGUUUUGAGAACCAAAUUUAAGUCUUAGGUUAGAGCCACAAGUGUUUUUAACCACUGAGCCAUCUCUCCAUCCCCUCUCCUACCUUAAAAAUUAUGUUUUAAUUUUUUCUAAAUUCCAUGCACAUAUUCAGAACAUCUUGAUUCUGUAUACUGCUCCCAUUCUCCUGUCAACUCCCUGACUAGGAAAUCCUAUCUCAUAUCUCCCCCAACUUUACCCAUUCAUUUAUUAUUAACUCCCUGAGUCCAGUUAGUGCUGCCGAUAUGUGCACGGUGAGGGGGACACCGACUGGGAAUGGGAAACCCACCAAUGCCACACUCUCAAACAAAAGUGACACCUCUUCUACCAUGCUCUCUAUGCCAUCUCAUUGUGCUUCAUAAAGUCCUUAUUUUGCUUGCAUCUUUAAACAACUGUUUUUGUGUAUGUUGAUGGAUAUGUCUGUGUGAGCCUCUGCUAUGUCAGUUCAGGUGCCCACUGCUGCCAGAGGAAGGCCCAGAUCCCAUGGAACUGGAGGUAUAGAUGGCUGCGAGGUAUCUCAGAGUGUGCUCAAAGCUGAACAGCUGAACUGGCGCCUUUGGAAGAGCAGGAGUGCUUUUAACUGCUGAGCCAUCUCUCCAGCCCCUUCCUUUUGUAUUUUGAUCCCUGCUGUUCUUUCCCUGAAUGUUGCUGAUAUGUUUGUAGGGUACAGCAGCAUGCUCGUCUCUGAGGAUCCAGUGUUGUUCCCAUGGCUGCCUGUGGUGCACUGUUACAGGUGAGAUCCUCAGCGGCAGCCUUCAGUGUAGCCUGCUUCAGUUCUGUCAUCCCUGUGUCUGCAUCAGUUGGUUCUGACAGAGUAUAGGGGCCCGGUUUGCGUGUGCUUUCUCACCGUUUCUGUGUUAAUGCCCAUUUGGGUAC
Myodes glareolus (Bank vole) is the source of this 978-nucleotide non-coding RNA. Lineage: Eukaryota; Metazoa; Chordata; Mammalia; Rodentia; Cricetidae. The record is from RefSeq and is a predicted model, not a curated record.